Molecule: ribosomal RNA, 415 nt
Filed under: uncultured bacterium
Lineage: Bacteria
Description: bacterial SSU rRNA
Rfam family: Bacterial small subunit ribosomal RNA
Source: RNAcentral
GUAUUGGUCAAUGGACGCAAGUCUGAACCAGCCAUGCCGCGUGAAGGAUGAAGGUCCUCUGGAUUGUAAACUUCUUUUAUCUGGGACGAAAACGGGAUUUUUAUCUCAAUUGACGGUACCAGAGGAAUAAGCACCGGCUAACUCCGUGCCAGCAGCCGCGGUAAUACGGAGGGUGCGAGCGUUAUCCGGAUUUACUGGGUUUAAAGGGUGCGUAGGUGGGCUUAUAAGUCAGUGGUGAAAUCUCCGAGCUUAACUUGGAAACUGCCGUUGAUACUAUAGGUCUUGAAUUAUCUGGAGGUAAGCGGAAUAUGUCAUGUAGCGGUGAAAUGCUUAGAUAUGACAUAGAACACCAAUUGCGAAGGCAGCUUACUACAUAUAAAUUGACGCUGAGGCACGAAAGCGUGGGGAUCAAACA